UCCCAAGGCCCUUUGUCUGCAAGGAAGGA
RNAcentral lists this non-coding RNA (29 nucleotides) under Macaca fascicularis (crab-eating macaque). Lineage: Eukaryota; Metazoa; Chordata; Mammalia; Primates; Cercopithecidae. The record is from RNAcentral. RNAcentral also lists the same sequence under 1 other name.